Molecule: long non-coding RNA, 762 nt
Organism: Pogoniulus pusillus (Red-fronted tinkerbird)
Lineage: Eukaryota; Metazoa; Chordata; Aves; Piciformes; Lybiidae
Exons: 3
Source: RefSeq, a predicted model, not a curated record
CACUCUUGUUCCUGCUGCUCCUGUUUUGCUGUGUGGUCAUCUUACCACACGGUGGACAACUCCUUCCUGAAUCUACCUCCAUCCAUUGCCAUCAGUCUGGUUGUGCCCUCCACGACAGACACAGGCAAGUCAUCCAGGUGCCAAGCUGCCUUCCACCAUUUUGCUUGCAGAAGCUGCCCUGUUGGUUGGCUAAUGAGCGAAAGAAGAGAGUGCAUGGAGAGCGACAGGUACAAAGACCCACGGCAUUCAAAAACACUUUACUGUGUAAAACUCCUUAAGACUUGAUAAAUCCUAUGAGAAGAAAUCUUUGGGAAGAUGAGUAUGCUGGUUUGAGGCUAACUGGAAUAUUUUAAUGAGAGAAAAUACAUCAUUGCUUGUAAAAAGAAAAUAAUGAUGAAGUCUAUAUCAUUCUUUGGCUUGCUGAGAGGGAUAAAAAGUCAAAAUGUAAACAGUUUGUCCCACUCUGAUCUGUAAUGAUGGAUUAAUUCACUUCCUCCUCACUUCGCUCUACUAUCUUUUGUACUCAUCUCAUCUAACUCCUAACAACAUAAGCUUUGCUGGUUGCUUUGUUUGUCUGUCUGGGAAAGUAGAAGCAAAAAGAGAGAGUAGCUUUAAGCCCCUUCUGGGCAGCUUUGUUCAGGAGGGAGUUCAAAUUUCUGUAUUAUUUCUAAUUCACAUCGAGUUGCAAAUAUUUGUAAAUAUAUUGCAUAUAUAUGCUUGUAAAUUUUGCUUUGUUGCAAAUAAAGCUUCAUCUUAGUUCCA